RNAcentral lists this ribosomal RNA (1947 nucleotides) under Liposcelidae sp. B1763. Its description in RNAcentral is "SSU rRNA". It matches the Rfam family "Eukaryotic small subunit ribosomal RNA". The record is from RNAcentral. Lineage: Eukaryota; Metazoa; Arthropoda; Insecta; Psocodea; Liposcelididae.
AAAGGUUAAGCCAUGCAAGCCUAAGUACAAACUUGGAUAGCUGUAAGGCAUACAAAGUGAAACCGCGAAAGGCUCAUUAAAUCAGUUAUGGUUCACUAGAUGGCACCAUAGACUCACGUGCGGGCAACCGCAUUCGAGCUGACUUGGAUAACUGUGGCAAUUCUAGAGCUAAUACAUGCAAAUCGAGUCCCGACCGCGACAAGCCUUCGUGGUGUAAGUUGGAAGGGAUGCUUUUAUUAGAUCAAAAACCAACGGGUCCGGCUUCGGUCGGUUCUCCAAAACGGUUCUUGGUGACUCUGGAUAAAUGUCUGCAGACCAGGCUCAGCUGAUCGCUWAGGCCUUCGUGCCGGCGACGCGUCUUUCAAAUGUCUGACUUAUCAAACUGUCGACGGCCGGCCUUUGGGCCAGCCGUGGUGAUAACGGGUAACGGGGAAUCAGGGUUCGAUUCCGGAGAGGGAGCCUGAGAAAUAGCUACCACAUCCAAGGAAGGCAGCAGGCGCGCAAAUUACCCACUCCCUGAACGGGGAGGUAGUGACGAUAAAUAACGAUGCAGAACUCUUUCCGAGGCUCUGCAAUCGGAAUGGGUAUACUCUAAACACUUGUGCGAGUAUCCACUGGAGGGCAAGUCUGGUGCCAGCAGCCGCGGUAAUUCCAGCUCCAGUAGCGUAUAUUAAAGUUGUUGCGGUUAAAAAGCUCGUAGUUGGAUCUGUGUUUCGAGCCGUCGGUUCGCCGCCCGUCGGCGUUUAACUGACGCGACUUCGAAACGUCCUGCCGGUUGGCGGUCGGUCGCGCGUCUUAUCUUCGGAUUUGACGGACUUGCGACGCGCCAGUGUUUUCACCCGUUCCCGAUGCUCUUCACCGAGUGUCGAAACGGGCCGGCACGUUUACUUUGAAUCAAACUGAGUGCUCAAGGCAGGCAAAUUUUACCGCUUGAAAGAUCUUGCAUGGAAUAAUGGAAUAGGACCUCGGUUCUAUUUUGUUGGUUUUCAGAACCCCGAGGUAAUGAUAAAUGGGGACUGACGGGGGCAUUAGUAUUGCGGCGUUAGAGGUGAAAUUCUUGGAUCGUCGCAAGACUACCUAAAGCGAAAGCAUUUGCCAAGGAUGUUUUCAUUAAUCAAGAACGAAAGUUAGAGGUUCGAAGGCGAUCAGAUACCGCCCUAGUUCUAACCAUAAACGAUGCCAGCCAGCGAUCCGCGGUGGUUCGUUUGUAAUGACCCCGCGGGCAGCUUCCGGGAAACCAAAGCUUUUGGGUUCCGGGGGUAGUAUGGUUGCAAAGCUGAAACUUAAAGGAAUUGACGGAAGGGCACCACCAGGAGUGGAGCUUGCGGCUUAAUUUGACUCAACACGGGAAACCUCACCAGGCCCAGACACUGAAAGGAUUGACAGAUUGAUAGCUCUUUCUUCAUUCAGUGGGUGGUGGUGCAUGGCCGUUCUUAGUUGGUGGAGCAAUUUGUCUGGUUAAUUCCGAUAACGAACGAGACUCUAGCCUACUAAAUAGCCGAGACCAUCGCGCUAAGUUCUGCUCGUCGCAGGUCACCCGGUAUCCUUUGGCUACCGGCGUCAAUCAGUUUCUUCUUAGAGGGAUCCGCGCCUUUKAGGCGCCCGAGAUUGAACAAUAACAGGUCUGUGAUGCCCUUAGAUGUUCUGGGCCGCACGCGUGCUACACUGAAGGAGUCAGCGAGUAUAAGUACCCCUAGGCCUACGGGUCCGGGUAACCUGCUGAACCUCCUGCGUGCUUGGGACCGGGACUUGAAAUUGUGUCCCGCCAACGAGGAAUUCCCAGUAAGCGCGAGUCAUAAGCUCGUGCUGAUUACGUCCCUGCCCUUUGUACACACCGCCCGUCGCUACUACCGAUUGAACGAUUUAGUGAGGUCUUCGGACCAGCGCUCGAGAGCCUUCCUUCGGUUGGCACUGGUUGUUGCGGGGAAGAUGAUCGAACUUGCUCGU